GGUUGCGAUCAUACCAGCACUAAUGCACCGGAUCCCAUCAGAACUCCGCAGUUAAGCGUGCUUGGGCGAGAGUAGAACUAGGAUGGGUGACCCCCUGGGAAGUCCUCGUGUUGCAACCC
Molecule: ribosomal RNA, 119 nt
Filed under: Helianthus annuus (common sunflower)
Lineage: Eukaryota; Viridiplantae; Streptophyta; Magnoliopsida; Asterales; Asteraceae
Source: RNAcentral